RNAcentral lists this long non-coding RNA (202 nucleotides) under Elaeis guineensis (African oil palm). RNAcentral's name for it is "long non-coding RNA (EGUI_LNC012678)". Lineage: Eukaryota; Viridiplantae; Streptophyta; Magnoliopsida; Arecales; Arecaceae. The record is from RNAcentral.
GCCUGGGGAGUUCUUCUUGGCAUUCCAUUUCCAUCAGUAUUUGAGCCCAGGGAGUGUUCAAUGGAGUGAAGUAGUGAAAUCUCUAUUGAAGAGUUCUAGAUCAACAUCGCCUUGGAGGGGACCCAACUCGAUAUCCCUGAGAUGGAGUUCGAGAUUAAUGGAGCUUUUGCUUGACCUAUUAAUACUGCACUCACAAAUAAUC